GAACGCUGGCGGCGUGCCUAAUACAUGCAAGUCGAGCGAACAGACGAGGAGCUUGCUCCUCUGACGUUAGCGGCGGACGGGUGAGUAACACGUGGAUAACCUACCUAUAAGACUGGGAUAACUUCGGGAAACCGGAGCUAAUACCGGAUAAUAUAUUGAACCGCAUGGUUCAAUAGUGAACGACGGUUUUGCUGGCACUUAUAGAUGGAUCAGCGCCGCAUUAUCUAGUUGGUAAGGUAACGGCUUACCAAGGCAACGAUGCGUAGCCGACCUGAGAGGGGGAUCGGCCACACUGGAACUGAGACACGGCCCAGACUCCUACGGGAGGCAGCAGUAGGGAAUCUUCCGCAAUGGGCGAAAGCCUGACGGAGCAACGCCGCGUGAGUGAUGAAGGUCUUCGGAUCGUAAAACUCUGUUAUUAGGGAAGAACAAAUGUGUAAGUAACUAUGCACGUCUGGACGGUACCAAAUCAGAAAGCCACGGCUAACUACGU
RNAcentral lists this ribosomal RNA (493 nucleotides) under uncultured bacterium. RNAcentral describes it as "partial 16S ribosomal RNA". It matches the Rfam family "Bacterial small subunit ribosomal RNA", at positions 31 to 506 of the family's 1533-position model. The record is from RNAcentral.